Molecule: long non-coding RNA, 493 nt
Organism: Poeciliopsis prolifica (blackstripe livebearer)
Lineage: Eukaryota; Metazoa; Chordata; Actinopteri; Cyprinodontiformes; Poeciliidae
Exons: 3
Source: RefSeq, a predicted model, not a curated record
UGUUCAUGCAAAGGUUGGAGACGACGUCAUUCUGCCAUGUCAUCUGGAGCCUCCAUUUGAUUUGACCACAUUUACAAUCGAAUGGAGAUUCAAGGAUGAAAUAAUCCAUGUUCAACACAACCAAACUAAAGAUGAUGGAGCUUCAGAUCCAAGUACCGUGACCGAACCUUCAUGUUCCCUGAUGAGUUUAUAAAUGGCAACAUUUCCCUCAAAUUGACCAAAGUCACCAAGGAGGAUGAAGGGAAUUAUAUUUGCUUUGUUCCCAAACUGCAAAGUCAAGCCAGGAAGGGAAACGUUACUCUAAUACUUGGACCUCCUAGAGUUUUUGUUGGUGUUGUUGUUGCACUCAUCUUCUUCUUCACCGUCAUCAUCAUCGUCGUCAUCAUAAUCAAGCGAUCUCAAAUCCAGCGUGUUCUACGUCACUACAGAGGUGAACAAAUUUUUCCAUGCUGGAGGAAAAACUCUCAACAUGAACCAGAGAGAAAUGAUGAAG